RNAcentral lists this small nuclear RNA (163 nucleotides) under Crocodylus porosus (Australian saltwater crocodile). RNAcentral's name for it is "U2 spliceosomal RNA (ENSCPRG00005001165.1)". It matches the Rfam family "U2 spliceosomal RNA", at positions 57 to 192 of the family's 192-position model. Rfam says of the family: U2 is a small nuclear RNA (snRNA) component of the spliceosome (involved in pre-mRNA splicing). Complementary binding between U2 snRNA (in an area lying towards the 5' end but 3' to hairpin I) and the branchpoint sequence (BPS) of the intron results the bulging out of an unpaired adenosine, on the BPS, which initiates a nucleophilic attack at the intronic 5' splice site, thus starting the first of two transesterification reactions that mediate splicing. Lineage: Eukaryota; Metazoa; Chordata; Crocodylia; Crocodylidae. The record is from Rfam by way of RNAcentral.
ACACCAUGAUCAAUCAGGUGGUAGCUUGUUUCUGAUAUGUCCUCCACAGGAGGUCUAUAUUGAGCAGAUUCUUUUUGGUAUUGGGUGGUGGAACCGGAGCGUGCUCCAUCCACUCCAUGCAUUGACCUGGUAUUCCAGUGCUUCCAGGACCGGUGCAAAAAAA